UUGUUUACAUUAUGUUGUGUUUUUUCUCAACAAACAUUUUCUUUUGUCCAACUUUAGAGAAGUCCUGAGCACAUAAUGAGUUGCAGUCGAACCACGCCUUGUGGCUGGGGCGUGUACACUUAUUACAGUCGGGCUGUGCAAUACUAUAUGAGAACCCCAUGCCAAUGUCCUAAUGGAACAAGAUGUGUAAGAACAAAUGAUGAGUUACUCAUCUACUCAUACGUCUACCAUUGUCGAUCUUUCUUGGAACAGGCUGAACACGUAUGGCCAGACUACAAGUAAUAGGCUUAACCCUUAAGCCUAAUACACGUAUGGCCAGACUACAAGUAAUAGGCUUAACCCUUAAGCCUAAUCCUCUGGAAGGAAUUUACCCUCUGAGAAUUGUGUGAUCCCGCUCUAUUUAGUUCAUGAUGAUGACCCUUAAUUUUUAUUGCAUAUCCAUGUAUAUAAUGGGUCUAUUUUUGGUUGUAUAUUUUGUAACUUACAUUUGAAUUUGUAGAUUUCGUUACUUGUAUUUCUCAGUUUGUGUAAAGCUAUAUCAAUGUAAUAAUAUACUGACAUUCAUUCAAUAAAUUCAAGAGAUCUGAAAAA
Limulus polyphemus (Atlantic horseshoe crab) is the source of this 591-nucleotide long non-coding RNA. RefSeq lists it as uncharacterized. Lineage: Eukaryota; Metazoa; Arthropoda; Merostomata; Xiphosura; Limulidae. The transcript is spliced from 2 exons. The record is from RefSeq and is a predicted model, not a curated record.